Molecule: ribosomal RNA, 198 nt
Filed under: uncultured bacterium
Lineage: Bacteria
Description: partial 16S ribosomal RNA
Rfam family: Bacterial small subunit ribosomal RNA
Source: RNAcentral
ACUCCUACGGGAGGCAGCAGUGGGGAAUAUUGGACAAUGGGCGGAAGCCUGAUCCAGCCAUGCCGCGUGUGUGAAGAAGGCCUUUUGGUUGUAAAGCACUUUAAGCGAGGAGGAGGCUACUAGUAUUAAUACUACUGGAUAGUGGACGUUACUCGCAGAAUAAGCACCGGCUAACUCUGUGCCAGCAGCCGCGGUAAU